AUGGUGGCAAUCAAGGCAUUCGAGAACCUGAAUUCAACCCACCUACAAUGUCUCAAUGAAGCCACGAUGAUUCUUAUUCCCAAGAGUGAAGAUGCCGAAGAGGGUAAGGACUAUAGACCAAUCAGUCUCAUUUCUUUAUUUGCAAAAUUAAUAAUGAAGAUUCUUGCUACAAGAACGCGGCCCAAGAUGAAUGACCUUGUGCUGCCCACUCAAAGUGCAUUCAUUAAAGGAAGAUCUUUGCAUGACAAUUUUAUUCUCGCGCAAGGCAUGACUGGGCAGCUGUACCUAAAGAAGAUCCCUGCCCUCCUAUUAAAGCUUGAUGUGCAAAAGGCCUUUGACAGCAUUUCCUGGGAGUUCCUACUUGAAGUCCUCACUGCAAAAGGCUUUGGCCAAAACUAG
This 399-nucleotide ribosomal RNA is filed under the name Triticum aestivum (bread wheat). RNAcentral describes it as "partial small subunit ribosomal RNA". The record is from RNAcentral. Lineage: Eukaryota; Viridiplantae; Streptophyta; Magnoliopsida; Poales; Poaceae.